CCCUGGCCUGGCGUGGAAUUACCUUUACUUGGUCCACACAACGUCCCCCGACUUGCACGCGUGUGACAAGAGAAAGAGGAGGAAAACUACUCGUUCCAGCAGUGCACCGUUACUGGUAAUACAAUAAACGCAUACAUUUGAUUUGAGUCUGUCACACCCGGUAUUAAUUUAUGGUACUUGUAAAAGUUAGCUGCUCUUUUAUUCUCUCAUUUACGUUCUCGUGGUACAACGAACUUGCCGCUCCCUCUCCGAGUUGAUCUCCAUUCUUUUCACAAGAGCAGCUCUGUGGUCAAUGCCUGCUCAGAACUAUUUGUUGUAGCGGCAAUCAAAGAUACGACACCCCGUGACUGCCAUCAGACUCGCACACACACACACACCUGCAAGGAUUUGAUGUCAUGUCAACGAGCAUAACAGUCCUUCCUAGCAAAGAGGGUCCACCUGUUCACGUAAAGGUGAGCAAUUUGUCGACGUUUACAGCGGAUUAUCCCCCUCGACCUCCUUAUGUCAACAAAAGUCGCCGAUUAACUGGGGAAAUGGCCACCCCUCCCCCGUCCACUGACGCCGGUCCCUCACGUUCGUUUUAGAUCUCAAUCUCCAGAUCGCUUGCUCCAAAAUCGGAGUCCGACAUGUCAGAGUAAUAAUAAAGUUCUAGAUGAGGGUGGUCUUUGGGACAAAAAACAAUCUGAAGACCCCCCCACCAUCAGUUUUGCUGAGUUUUAAUGAACUUGCAGCGGCGUCCGCUGACUCUUAAGAAUGGCCCAGUGCAGAGGAUGUGGACCCACCUGUGCUUGCUGCCCCACUGGCUUUUGUAAGAAGACCCUGGUGAUGCCACCUCUUAGGCGUGUCGCUGGCAUAUUAAUCUUUUGUUUUGAGAAAAUACCCUCCGAUAGACUAACAUGUUUUAGUGAAAACUUGAAGCCAUGCCCACCAUUGCUGAGGCAUUUCACGCAGAAGUUGUCAAGCUGUGGCGUUGGCUUCAUUUCGACGUUGUGUCUUGUCAUCUGUGUCACUAGCACAACGUCGUUGUUGUGCGGUGGUCUUCUGUAGUGAGAAGUGAUGGGAGACUGAAACGUAAAGGAGUUAAAAUCUUAAAUAAUGGAUUGAUGCCUCAGAAUAUGAAGAGAUGGACGAAAGGAUGACAAAACUGGUAGAUGAAAGGUUCAUGAAGUGAAGGAAAGGAUGGGUGGAGUGUUCAAAAAUGAAUGAGUAAAGGGAUGAAUGAGAACUCCAGGAUGGUUCAGAAAACUGGUAGAUGGAAAGUUCAGGAGAUGAAUGAGUAAGGAGAUGGAAGAAAACUCCAGAAUGGUCCAGAAAACUGGAUGGAUGGAUAGAGGCAAUGAGGUUCAGAAUAUGACUGAAUAGAAGGUAAAAAACAAUAAAUAAAUGAGUAGAAAAAACUACCGGAGGAUGGAUAAUUCAGAAAACUGAUGGAAUUGAGAUUGAAACAUGGAGGAAUUAAACUCUUAAAUAAUGGAUGGAUGGCUCAGAAUAUGGAUGAAAGGAUGACAAAACUGGUAAAUGGAAAGUUCAGGAGAUGAAGGAAUGGAUGGGUGGACUUUUCGGAAAAUGAAUGAGUAAGGAGAUGGAUGAAAACUCCAGAAUGGUCCAGAAAACUGGAUGGAUGGAGGCUAUGAGGUUCAGAAUAUGGCUGAAUAGAAGGUAAAAAACAAUAAAUGAAUGAGUAGAUGGAUGGGCGAACAGUUUACAAAACUAACCAAGGAUGGAUAAUUCAGAAAACUGAUGGAAUUGAGAUUGAAACAUGGAGGAAUUAAACUCUUAAAUAAUGGAUGGAUGGCUCAGAAUAUGGAUGAAAGGAUGACAAAACUGGUAGAUGGAACGUUCAGCAGAUGAAGGAAUGGAUGGGUGGACUUUUCAGAAAUGAAUGAAUAAGGGAAUGGAUGAAAACACUGGAAUGGUUCAGAAACUUCACAACUUCAGAAGUGGUUUAAAACUGAUGGACGGGGUAUUGAAACAUAAGUUGAUUCAAGUUUUAAAUGAUGGAUGGAUGGGGUUCAGCACAUGGAUGGAUUAACGAUUAAUGAUUAAUUAAUUAAUCAGAAACUGGGAGAUGGAAAGUUGGUGAACUUUUCAGAAAAUGAAAACUGGACGGAUGGAUGGCUGGCUAUAAGGUUCACAAAAUGGAUGUAUGGAAGGUAAGAAAUAAAUGGAUGCCAAGUUUGGAAAAUGAAUGGAUGAGUGGAAGGAAAAAAAGAUUAAAAAAAAAAAUGGAUGAAUUGAAGGCUCCAAAAUGGAAGGAUGGCUGGAUGGUUUAGAAAAAGGAUCAGCAGGUCGAAGGUUGAAAGGUUUUUGAAAGCUAAGGAGGAGGAGAAGACAGAUGGGCUGCUGAGAAUGAGGAUGAACAGAUGGAGGGAUGGAAGGUUCAGAUAAGCCAGGAAGGGCCGGAUGGAGGAAUGGUUCAGAAAAGUGACAGAAGGAAGAAUGGAUGGAUAACGGGUAGAGGCAAACUACACGUAAACGUCUAAUAAACUGAUUUACAUGUUAAAAGUGUUUGUUUAGUGGCAGCCAUCUUGUGGAGUACGAGAUUCAGAAAUGGGGGGUGAAUGGAAGGUAAAAAAAAAAGAACUGGCAAGACUUAGAAAGUGAGUGGCCGGUUGAUUGGUUGGUUCAUGAAAUCAAUGAGUUAGAUGGAUGGAUGGAUAGUUACAAGGCUAAAAAAAGGAUGGAUUGGGUGAAUAUCACAGUCGGAAAAUGAGCGAAUGGACGUGUUAAAAAGUGUGGGACUCGUGGAGGAUUCAGAGAAUGGACAGAUGGCUAAACGGCAAACUGCUAAAGAGCCAGCCUAACAAAAAAAUGGAUGGAUGGAUGAAUGAGUGGUUCAGAAAAGCGAUGGAGCGAUGGAUGACAGGUCUGGUAGGCGUACUCCUGGAGAGGCAAUGUCUAUAAACAGAAAUCGUGGAGCCACGUUGACCGUUGAAGUGUUCAUUUCAUGGCAAUUUUCCUGAAGUUUAAGGGUCAGAAUGGGGGGGUGCGAAUGGAAGGAACCAAAUAAAUGGCAAGGUUUAAAAAGUGAGAGAAUGGUUGGUUGGCUUAUAAACUCAACGAGUAGAUGGAUGGAUGGUGAGAGAGGCAACUAGAGUAGUCAGAAAAUGAGCAAACGGACGUGUUUUCAAAAAAAAAAA
Polypterus senegalus (gray bichir) is the source of this 3140-nucleotide long non-coding RNA. RefSeq lists it as uncharacterized. NCBI's taxonomy places the organism in Eukaryota, Metazoa, Chordata, Cladistia, Polypteriformes, Polypteridae. The transcript is spliced from 2 exons. The record is from RefSeq and is a predicted model, not a curated record.